AAGACACACUUCAAUGGACAUCAACACUAUCACUCCUGAAGAAGAAAAAAAGAAAGGAAAGAAUAUUGUAAGCAAAUCGUGCCAUCGUAUGACAAUCAGUGUUCGUCGUUGUGCCAAUAACAACGCAAUCAAUCUGAAGAAACCUAUUCAUAGUAUUCAUAAUCAUCACUCACGUAUACAUACGCGUAUACACUCACGUCCAUAAGAUUGAUUCACCGAAUAAAACUUCCAUAAACCUUAAUAUAAGAAACAAUUCUACUUUUUAUUUGCACACACAUCGACGAAUCCCCCGAACAAAAAUAAACUGCUAAAUAUCUCUAUAAUUAAAUACAUUAAUGCUCGAUGAUCCUCGUUCAUCAUUAUACGUCUAAUCUAACUCCAUCCUAUAAUUAGGAGUUCUACGAUAACGAUCACUUAUGUUACAAUGUAUUAACCCUUAACAGCCGAACUUAAUUAUAAUUAAUUAUAGAAAAUGAAAUGCUUCAUUAUACGGAUAUUUGAAGUAAUAUUCUGUAUUAUACAGGGUGUCUGGUAAUUGAUACUGUGAUAACCAGUGGUUAGUUAAUGUGGUUAAUAACCAGUGGUACAGGAUAAUACUAUGUGAAAGGAUCUGUUGAAAAUAUAGAACGAGAGAUUUUCGUACGACGUUCGAGAGAAUGAAAUUCUGAAGCUUUGUCAACUCGUGUUCACACGACAUUCACGAAACAUAUUCAAAAUUUAUUUUCUCGAAAAUACGAAGAAUCAUCAGUUACGAAACACUCUGUACUAUAUCACAUUAUUAUAUCACUAUCGUAUUGAUAAGAAAUGUCGAUAUUAUAACUCCUUAAGACUCCCUUAAUAUUUAUUUGCGAUUCAGCUUAAUAUGUAUUUCAAUAUUAAAUUGUAAUGUGUAAUUUCAAGAUUAAAAAUAUAAAAGAAUUCAUUCCUGAUUA
Long non-coding RNA from Bombus huntii, 932 nucleotides. RefSeq lists it as uncharacterized. The record is from RefSeq and is a predicted model, not a curated record. Lineage: Eukaryota; Metazoa; Arthropoda; Insecta; Hymenoptera; Apidae. The transcript is spliced from 2 exons.